This 467-nucleotide ribosomal RNA is filed under the name uncultured bacterium. RNAcentral's name for it is "partial 16S ribosomal RNA". It matches the Rfam family "Bacterial small subunit ribosomal RNA", at positions 28 to 506 of the family's 1533-position model. The record is from RNAcentral.
GACGAACGCUGGCGGCGUGCUUAACACAUGCAAGUCGAACGGAAAGGCCCGGCUUUUGUGGGGUGCUCGGGUGGCGAACGGGUGAGUAACACGUGAGUAACCUGCCCUUGACUUUGGGAUAACUUCAGGAAACUGGGGCUAAUACCGGAUAUGAGCUCCUGCUGCAUGGUGGGGGUUGGAAAGUGUCGGCGGUUGGGGAUGGACUCGCGGCUUAUCAGCUUGUUGGUGGGGUAGUGGCUUACCAAGGCUUUGACGGGUAGCCGGCCUGAGAGGGUGACCGGCCACAUGGGGACGGAGAUACGGCCCAGAGCCGUACGGGAGGCAGCAGUGGGGAAUGUAGCACAAUGGGCGGAAGCCGGAUGCAGCAACGCCGCGUGCGGGAUGACGGCCUUCGGGUUGUAAACCGCUGUCGCCUGGGACGAAGCGUGAGUGACGGUAAUGGGGAAAGAAGCACCGGCUAACUACGG